Manis javanica (Malayan pangolin) is the source of this 964-nucleotide non-coding RNA. Lineage: Eukaryota; Metazoa; Chordata; Mammalia; Pholidota; Manidae. The record is from RefSeq and is a predicted model, not a curated record.
GGCAGAGAGGAGCCCAGCACAAGGCCGGGGUGCAUCUGGAGCUAUCUCUGCACCUCUGACCAGCUGCCGGCACCCCCGGGAUCUGAACCUCCUGAGCACUCCUGAGACGGAAUGCUGAAAGGGGGCUAAGAAGGAAACUGGGGAGAGGAGUUAUUCAAUGUCAUGUUGAUGAGUAACACAGAAAUAACCAUGCUGAAAGGAAAGAAUCUCUAGAGAAGCUGCCAGGCUUACCCUCUUUCCUUCAGGUUGUAAGGUCAGAUCUGUGGACUGAAGGAACUACCAAAAAUACAUCUUUUGGAAACAUCACAAAAGGCCAUAUGGGGAGCAGACUGUCCUAAGAGAAAAAUUAUUGGAUGGAGAGCAGAGAACACCUCACGUCUCUAUCUUGUUUUCUCACUGAAUCACCCAAAGUCCUCGCCAGCAAGUACCUAGAACAGAAUCCCCAACCCCAACCAAAGACACCUUGGAAGCAGAUGCAGGAGAGGAAAUAGCCAGAAGGACUUCCCCCAUUCUCCACAAGGAAUGGCUGGCUCUGAGUGAGUGUUCAGCUAACAACCCAGGUAAUGCUGAAAGCUGCUUCCUUCGAGUAGUCUGGAGCUUUAGUACUUUCCAGGUAGAAGGGGCCGACCUGACCAGCCUCAAUACGAUCCCUCGGCACUGAGUCUACUGAGCUCCCGUCGGUGGAGAGCAGUUCACAUAUGCUGCCACAAUUCGAUGCUGGAGUAUGUUUAUACCAGUGGUCCCAGCUGGGAAUGAAGUUGCCCUCUACAGGACACCAAGUGAUGUCUGAAGACAAUUUGGUUGUCACACUAAGAGGGGGACAUGCUGCUGGCAUCUAGCAAGGUGAACAGAGACAUGAAACCUGAUAAAAAGAGACCAAGAAAUACUGCUGCCCCAGCAGGGGAGAAAACAGCUGCUGGGCAUGUGUCAGGUCACUUGACCUCUCAGAAAUAAAGGAAUAAGC